GAUUCCGGAGAGGCAGCCUGAGAGACGGCUACCACGUCCAAGGACGGCAGCAGGCACGCAAAUUACCCAAUCCCAGCAACUGGGGGAGGUAGUGACGAAAUAUAACGAUGCGGGCGCCCUUUUUGGGGCCCCGCAAUCGGAAUGAGCACUUUCUAAACAACCUGUUGAGAACCUACUGAAGGGCAAGUCUGGUGCCAGCAGCCGCGGUAAUUCCAGCUUCAGCAGCAUCUAUUAAAGUUGCUGCGGUUAAAAGGCUCGCAGUUGAAUGUCAGUAUCGAGCGCAGGUCAGGUGGACGCUGGGGCGUGGGAACACAAGGCGUGGCACGGGCCGUCUCCUCCUCUCUCUCGCUUCGUGCUUGGGUUUGGGUUGGUGGUACCGACCGCGUCUCUCACAUACCCCCGUCCGUUACAAGCCUCCUCGCUCGCGUACAUAUCGGAACUGGUCAAACGGAGUGUGCGCAGUCGCUCUUCCCUCGCCUCCGGGUGGGUGCGUUGGGAGGCUCGCACGUUAAGCUCCUUCGGUUUCACUGUCACCUUGAGUAAAUCAGAGUGCUCAAAGCAGUCGUAGGGGCCUUGCGCCCUGUGAACAGUCUUGACGGACUGACUUGGUUUUGCAUGGCAUGUCGGAAGACGACGUCGUGUGCUGGCUCAGAGACUAAAUCAGUGGUGCAAGCCAGCCGCGACGUACUGAUUAACAGGGACGGUCGAGGGCAUUGGUAUUGCGAGGCGAGAGGUGAAAUUCUAUGACCCCCGCAAGACCUCCUGAAGCGAAAGCGUCUGCCAAGGACGUUUUCAUUAAUCAUGAACGAAAGUUAGAGGAUCGAAGGCGAUCAGAUACCGCCCUAGUUCUAACCCUAAACGAUGCCAACCAUCAAUCCGCGCGUAGCUCCCAUCUUAACGGGCUCGGCGGGCAGCUCCCCACUCACGGGAAACCAGAGUCUCUGGGUUCCGGGGGGAGUCUGGUUGCAAAGCUGAAACUUAAAGGAAUUGACGGAAAGGCACCACCAGGCGUGGAGCCUGCGGCUUAAUUUGACUCAACACGGGCCAUCUCACCAGGCCAGCACUCUUGUACGAUUGACAGAUUGAGAGCUCUUUCUCGAUUCAGUGGAUGGUGGUGCAUGGCCGUUCUUAGUUGGUGGAGUGAUCUGUCUGGUUAAUUCCGAUAACGAACGAGACUCUCCCCUGCUAACUAGUCGGCUGGAUCUUAUCGGUGAGUUGUGUGCCGGGAUCACCCGGGUGCGGGCGCGUGAGGGGUCUGGGUCGCUGAGGUUUUCCAAGGCGCGCUCUCUCUCCAAAUCGUUUACCGCAUUUCGGGCCUCGGGCCACACACUCCAAGUCCGCCGCUUAUUGUAUAACUCUUCUUAGAGGGAUUCACGGUUCUGAAGCCGUAAGAGACUGAGAGCAAUAACAGGUCUGUGAUGCCCUUAGAUGCUCUGGGCCGCACGCGCGCUACAAUGCCGGGCACAGCAGGUGUUUCUCCUGCUCCGACAGGAGCAGGUAACCCUCUGAAAGCCACUUUCUUUGUCGUGUCUAACACGAAAGGCGUGCUUGGGCCUGGGGCUUGCAAUUCUUUCCCACAAACGAGGAAUGCCUAGUAGCGGCGGGUCACUGAGCCCGCUGUGACUCAGUCCCUGCCCUUUGUACACACCGCCCGUCGCUACUACCGAUUGGGUGUACCAGUGAGAGCCUUGGACUGGCGUCCGUUGCCUUCGGGCAAUCGGGUCCGACGGAAAGAGGUCCGAACUGGUGCACUUAGAGGAAGUAAAAGUCGUACAAGG
RNAcentral lists this ribosomal RNA (1778 nucleotides) under Niphargus irlandicus. RNAcentral describes it as "bacterial SSU rRNA". It matches the Rfam family "Eukaryotic small subunit ribosomal RNA", at positions 379 to 1799 of the family's 1831-position model. Lineage: Eukaryota; Metazoa; Arthropoda; Malacostraca; Amphipoda; Niphargidae. The record is from RNAcentral.